AUCUGAAGCAUUCAAAAAUCUCAAGUCAGGCCCGCAAUAUAAUGCCAACAGGGUAAUUUUGGCCCAGUAACAUGCCCACCUGGCAAGAGCUACCACAGUGCAGCACCAGUAAAGACACAAUAGCUUGGAUAUGGUUUUUCAGCAUGGCUGCUCUUGCCCAGGCUAGGCUAAUUCGGGUGCCAAUCACCCAAGUUAAUGCUGCAGUGAAAACUACCGGAAAUGAAGAAUAAUUCCAGUGCAGUCAGAGGUCAUCUUGUUGCCCAUUUACUCGAUUUUUAUUAUGAAUCUCAUAAUAUUUGGUGUUUUACUUACUGCCCCAGAUCCUGGAGGCAAGUGAUUGUGAGAAUUUCAGCUUUCAUAUAAAAAGGUUACCAACCCAUGAGAGAUUGGAUUCCAAUGAGGGAAUUUGUGGAGUGCUGCUCGUGGCAUCCUCUGAGCAAACGCAUGUUGGUGGAAAGUCAGAUACAGAGAAUUGGAAUGGGCUUGCGCCUCCCCAGCGCUUCCAAGUUUUCUAUCAACACACCACCAGGAGGAGAGGAUCACAACUGAACAGCUGAGAUUCAAGAACGGGGGGCUGUGCCAUCGCUGCUGACUGUUGGUCCUGCUCAUUGCUUUCUAGCCUAUAUACCUUCUUGGUAAACAAAUACUCUGUCAGGCCUUCCUGUCCCCUUCCAUCUCCAACUAUGACAGUAGUAGAAGCAAGCAACAGAACUAGCUGGCCAUAUGCUUGGCUGUUGGAAGAGCUGUCAUUCAGAGGGCUGGCACUCAUGAAGCUGUCUGUUGUAUCAAAUCGUGCAUCUUUGCUGCAGUACAGAUUUUGGAGGGGGCUGCAAGCAGUGGCCCACCUCACAUGGGAGAGUCUUCCUCCAUCCCCCUUGCACCCAGGCUCUGAAGGAUCUGGCCACCUGUAGCCCGCUCAGAUGCCAGGAGUGGCUUGAGAGGCAAAGACAAUCACCUCCUUGCUCUCGCCUGUACUACCCCUCACACGUGGAACCAGAGCCCCAUAAACAUCUGCAAGAUCACCUCACUGUCCACCUCCAGUUCCCUCUUGGAAACUCUUUUGCUGAUGCCUACAAAAAACUUGCCAACAGGCUGCUGGUACUAAUGCGGAGAGUGGACCAGAUGAUACGUCUGAGGGAAGGGAGCAGAAGGAGACUCC
Long non-coding RNA from Chelonia mydas (Green sea turtle), 1159 nucleotides. RefSeq lists it as uncharacterized. Lineage: Eukaryota; Metazoa; Chordata; Testudines; Cheloniidae. The transcript is spliced from 4 exons. The record is from RefSeq and is a predicted model, not a curated record.